RNAcentral lists this long non-coding RNA (1399 nucleotides) under Ananas comosus (pineapple). Its description in RNAcentral is "long non-coding RNA (ACOM_LNC030591)". The record is from RNAcentral. Lineage: Eukaryota; Viridiplantae; Streptophyta; Magnoliopsida; Poales; Bromeliaceae.
UACAUAUACAUAUACAUAUGUGUAUGUAUACAUAUACAUAUAUAUAUGUAUAUAUGUAUAUAUAUAUAUAGUAGGGCUAUUAUGAGUACGGCUAGAAUACUUGUAAAAGUAUCAUGGGGGUGAUACUUGUGUGUUUUUAGCCCUUGGAUGGAGAGAUGUAAGGUUGAGAUGAUGGUGGUAGGUGGUGGUAGGUGGAAUAGUGUUUAAUCCAAGGGCUAUUAAUAAUCAAAAAGUAGAUCCAAUGGCUUAAAACCUAAUAGCACCAUGAUGGUGAUACUUGUAAAAGUAUCAUAGCUCAACUCGGGCUAUUAUACUAUUAUGAGUAUAGAGCCCUUUCGUACUCGUAAAUUGUUUUCAAUGUUAGGGUUUUCGAAUCGACGAUCCACACCGUUAAACAUGAUCUAGAGUAUUUGAAACUUCUAGAAAAUAAAUUUCGUAAUUUUUCAAAAUCAUUAUAAAGUCCAUCAAGCGGGUAUAAAAUGAACGGUCAAAAUCAAACAAAAUCCUAAAAAUGGAUGAUCGGAUCCUUCAAUUUAAUAUUGGAGUUAUUGAUCUUUAUUUAGGUAGUGAAUAGAAUUUUUUAUCAAAAAUUUAAUCUAUUCCGAUUCUUUUACACCGUUAACUAGCAAAUAUUCCAUACCGACCGUUAAAAAUUGUCAAUUUUGUGAGCUUUUGAUCGUAGGGUGAAUGAUAUCGAAAAUUAUAAAAUUUAAUUUCUAAAAGUUUUAAAUGCUCUAGAUAAUGUUUAACGAUAUGGAUCGUCGAUUCCACAACUCUAUCAUCGAAAACAACUUAUAAGUACGAAGUCGAUCAUACUCAUAAGAGUAUAGUAUAUAUAUAUCACUCUACAUGAGUGAGGCUAGUAUGCUUCUUGGAGCACGGAGCCCUCCGUGCUUCCAAGUCGUUUCCGAUGUUGAAACUUUCAAAUUGACGAUCGGCUCCGUUAGAUUUAAUCUAGAGUAUUUGAAGUACCUAGAAAUAAUUUUUGUGAUUUUUCGAUAUCAUUUGCCUAGUGAUCAAAGGGGCUCAAAAUCAAUAAUUUUAAUGGUCGUGGUGAGCCGUUUGCAAGUUUAACGGUAUAGAAAUAUUCAAAUCACGUGAAAUUUUGAUAGAAAAUAUUUUUUUACUAUAUAAAACAAGAUCAAUAUCUUUAAUCUAAAAUUUUAAUAUCAUAUCAUCACAUUUUGCAAAAUUUUUAAUUUCAGCCGUUGAUUUUGAGUUCCUUCGAUCACUAGGUAAAUGAUAUCGAAAAAUCGCAAAAUUUAUUUUCUAGAUACUUUAAAUACUCUAGAUCAAGUCUAACGGAGCCGAUCGUCGAUUCAAAAGUCUCAACAUCGAAAACGACUUAGAAGCACGGAGUCCGUGAUUCCAGAAGCAUACCAGCCUCACUCUACAUAUA